GAUGAACGCUAGCGGCAGGCUUAACACAUGCAAGUCGAGGGGUAGAGGAAGCUUGCUUCCUUGAGACCGGCGCACGGGUGCGUAACGCGUAUGCAACCUACCUUUUACAGAGGGAUAGCCCAGAGAAAUUUGGAUUAAUACCUCAUGGUAUAUAUCAUUCGCAUGUUUGAUAUAUUAAAGUUCCAACGGUAAAAGAUGGGCAUGCGUCCUAUUAGCUAGAUGGUAAGGUAACGGCUUACCAUGGCAACGAUAGGUAGGGGUCCUGAGAGGGAGAUCCCCCACACUGGUACUGAGACACGGACCAGACUCCUACGGGAGCAGCAGUGAGGAAUAUUGGACAAUGGGCGCAAGCCUGAUCCAGCCAUGCCGCGUGCAGGAAGAAGCAUCUAUGGUGUGUAAACUGCUUUUGACGGAAGAAACACUCCUUCGUGAAGGAGCUUGACGGUACCGUAAGAAUAAGGAUCGGCUAACUCCGUGCCAGCAGCCG
This 487-nucleotide ribosomal RNA is filed under the name uncultured bacterium. Its description in RNAcentral is "bacterial SSU rRNA". It matches the Rfam family "Bacterial small subunit ribosomal RNA", at positions 28 to 517 of the family's 1533-position model. The record is from RNAcentral.